Molecule: long non-coding RNA, 201 nt
Organism: Alosa alosa (allis shad)
Lineage: Eukaryota; Metazoa; Chordata; Actinopteri; Clupeiformes; Clupeidae
Exons: 3
Source: RefSeq, a predicted model, not a curated record
GGGACGGCAGCCAAGUUGAAUUUCAGGGCUUUCAGAAUCCAACCAGGAGUGCAUAGGCCUAUCCACAUCUUCGACUGACAUGGAUAUCCAGUGAAUGUGGAACUGACCAAAUCUCAUUGUGUUGCCAGCUUUGGAGGCCAAAAAUCUGACCGAAGCAGUUGGCGUGACAGCAAUUUCUCGCCUGGUGUUGCACGGACUGAU